Molecule: transfer RNA, 87 nt
Filed under: Shewanella sp.
Lineage: Bacteria; Pseudomonadati; Pseudomonadota; Gammaproteobacteria; Alteromonadales; Shewanellaceae
Also listed under: 7 other names
Description: tRNA-Leu
Rfam family: tRNA
About the family: Transfer RNA (tRNA) molecules are approximately 80 nucleotides in length. Their secondary structure includes four short double-helical elements and three loops (D, anti-codon, and T loops).
Source: RNAcentral
GCCCGAGUGGUGGAAUCGGUAGACACAAGGGAUUUAAAAUCCCUCGCUGGUUACAGCGUGCCGGUUCAAGUCCGGCCUCGGGUACCA